RNAcentral lists this ribosomal RNA (411 nucleotides) under Pseudomonas migulae. Its description in RNAcentral is "bacterial SSU rRNA". It matches the Rfam family "Bacterial small subunit ribosomal RNA", at positions 386 to 789 of the family's 1533-position model. Lineage: Bacteria; Pseudomonadati; Pseudomonadota; Gammaproteobacteria; Pseudomonadales; Pseudomonadaceae. The record is from RNAcentral.
AUCCAGCCAUGCCGCGUGUGUGAAGAAGGUCUUCGGAUUGUAAAGCACUUUAAGUUGGGAGGAAGGGCAGUAAAUUAAUACUUUGCUGUUUUGACGUUACCGACAGAAUAAGCACCGGCUAACUCUGUGCCAGCAGCCGCGGUAAUACAGAGGGUGCAAGCGUUAAUCGGAAUUACUGGGCGUAAAGCGCGCGUAGGUGGUUUGUUAAGUUGGAUGUGAAAUCCCCGGGCUCAACCUGGGAACUGCAUCCAAAACUGGCAAGCUAGAGUAUGGUAGAGGGUGGUGGAAUUUCCUGUGUAGCGGUGAAAUGCGUAGAUAUAGGAAGGAACACCAGUGGCGAAGGCGACCACCUGGACUGAUACUGACACUGAGGUGCGAAAGCGUGGGGAGCAAACAGGAUUAGAUACCCUG